UUAAGGAAAAAAGGGCGCACAGUGGAUGCCUAGGCACUAGAAGGCGAAGAAGGACGCAACUAACGGCGAAACGCUACGGGUAGCAGUAAGUAAGCAAUGAUCCGUAGAUAUCCGAAUGAGGCAACUCACCAUGAAGAAGACAUGGUAUACCGAAAGGUAGGCAAGACCCAGCGAAUUGAAAUAUCUUAGUAGCUGGAGGAAAAGAAAGCAAAAGCGAUUUUCUCAGUAGCGACGAGCGAAAGGGAAGGAACCCAAAUUCACGGCAUAUGAAAUUUUUGAUAAAUGAACCACUCUGGGAAGGUGGACCGAAGAAGGUGAAAGUCCUGUAAUUGAAAUCAAGAAUGGAAUUAGUGAGAAAGAGUACGGCGAGACACGAGAAAUCUUGUCGGAAGAAGCGAGGACCAUCUCGUAAGGUUAAAUACUAGCUAGUGACCGAUAGCGAACCAGUACCGUGAGGGAAAGGUGAAAAGAACCCCGGGAGGGGAGUGAAAGAGAACCUGAAACUGUGUGCUUACAAGUAGUCAGAGGACGUUAAAGUCUGAUGGCGUGCCUUUUGUAGAAUGAACCGGCGAGUUACGGUAUUUAGCAAGGUUAAGUCUAAAGGGACGGAGCCGAAGCGAAAGCGAGUCUUAAUAGGGCGGUAAGUUGAAUGCUGUAGACCCGAAACCCGGCGAGCUAGCCAUGAGCAGGUUGAAGUUUGAGUAAAAUCAAAUGGAGGACCGAACUAGGGCCUGUUGAAAAAGGCUUGGAUGACUUGUGGCUAGGGGUGAAAUUCCAAUCGAGCUGGGAUAUAGCUGGUUCUCCCCGAAAUAACUUUAGGGCUAGCGUUAAACAAGAGUUUUAUGAAGGUAGAGCACUGAAUAGUAGAUGGUCCCACCUCGGGAUACUGACAUUAAUCAAACUCCGAAUGUCAUAAAACGCGUUUAGCAGUCAGACUGCGAGUGAUAAGGUCCGUGGUCAAAAGGAAAAGAGUCCAGACCGCCAAAUAAGGUCCCAAAAUAUAUGCUAAGUGGAGAAGGAUGUAGAGAUGCCUAAACAACUAGGAUGUUGGCUUAGAAGCAGCCAUCAUUUAAAGAGUGCGUAAUAGCUCACUAGUCGAGUGACUCCGCGCCGAAAAUGUACCGGGGCUAAGCAUAUUACCGAAUUUGCGGAUUCGAUACGAAAGUAUUGAGUGGUAGGGGAGCGUUCCAUAAUGGGAAGAAGCAAGAUCGAGAGGACUUGUGGACUAUAUGGAAGUGAGAAUGCCGGUGUGAGUAACGAAAAGACAGGUGAGAAUCCUGUCCGUCAAAAACCCAAGGUUUCCAGGGGAAGGGUCGUCCGCCCUGGGUAAGUCUGGGCCUAAGGUGAGGCCGAGAGGCGUAGCUGAUGGAUAUCUGGUGUAUAUUCCAGAACUAGUAUAAUGACUGAUGGAGUGACGAAGAAGGCUAGGAUCCGAUUCUUAGUGGAUUGAAUACGAGAUAUCAAGAGGGGAUGUAGGCAAAUCCGCAUCUAGAAAUCAAGAUAUGACAGGUAAAGGAUAACGAAGUCAAGCUUCCAAGAAAAGCUUCUAGGGUUAAUCAUUAUACUACCAGUACCGUAAACCGACACAGGUGGGUAGGAAGAGAAUUCUAAGACGCGCGAGAAAACCCUUGUUAAGGAACUCUGCAAGUUGGCCCCGUAAGUUCGCAAUAAGGGGAGCUCAUGUAAAAGUGAGCCACAGAAAAGAAGCCCAAGCAACUGUUUAACAAAAACACAGGUUUAUGCAAAACCGUAAGGUGAAGUAUAUGAGCUGACACCUGCCCGGUGCUGGAAGGUUAAAAGGAGAGGUUAGAGCAAUCGAAGCCUUGAAUUGAAGCCCCAGUAAACGGCGGCCGGAACUAUAACGGUCCUAAGGUAGCGAAAUUCCUUGUCAGGUAAGUUCUGACCCGCACGAAAGGUGUAAUGUCUUUGGGCACUGUCUCAACAGGGGACUCGGUGAAAUCAAACUGCCGGUGAAAAUGCCGGCUACCCGCGAUUAGACGGAAAGACCCCAUGGAGCUUUACUGUAGGUUGAUAUUGAUAUUUGGUAUGUAAUGUACAGGAUAGGUGGGAGACUAUGAAGCUAGGACGUUAGUCUUGGUGGAGUCGACGUUGGGAUACCACCCUUUGCCUAUCGAGUAUCUAACUAGUGUAAGUGGAUUACAAAGGACAGUGUCAGUUGGGCAGUUUGACUGGGGCGGUCGCCUCCUAAAGAGUAACGGAGGCGCUCGAAGGUUCCCUCAGAAUGGUUGGAAAUCAUUCGCAGAGUGUAAACGCAGAAGGGAGCUUGACUGCAAGACAAACAAGUCGAGCAGGGACGAAAGUCGGAGUUAGUGAUCUUACGGUACCGCGUGGAAGGGCCGUGACUCAACGGAUAAAAGCUACCCUGGGGAUAACAGGCUGAUCACGCCCAAGCGUUCACAGCGACGGCGUGGUUUGGCACCUCGAUGUCGGCUCGUCGCAUCCUGGAGGUGGAUAAGCUUCCAAGGGUUGGGCUGUUCGCCCAUUAAAGCGGCACGCGAGCUGGGUUCAAAACGUCGUGAGACAGUUUGGUCCCUAUCUGUCGUGGGCGUUGGAAAUUUGAAGAGAGCUGUCCUUAGUACGAGAGGACCGGGAUGGACAUACCACUGGUGUACCAGUUAGCCUGCCAGGGCUAUAAGCUGGGUAGCUACGUAUGGAACGGAUAAACGCUGAAAGCAUCUAAGCGUGAAGCCUCCUCUAAGAUUAGAUUUCCCACAGAAAUGGUAAGACCCCUUAUAGACUAUAAGGUUGAUAGGCUAGGUGUGGAAGCGCAGUGAUGCGUGGAGCUGACUAGUACUAAUAGGUCGAGGACUUAACCUA
RNAcentral lists this ribosomal RNA (2838 nucleotides) under human gut metagenome. Its description in RNAcentral is "bacterial LSU rRNA". It matches the Rfam family "Bacterial large subunit ribosomal RNA". The record is from RNAcentral.